RNAcentral lists this ribosomal RNA (257 nucleotides) under Theileria velifera. RNAcentral describes it as "partial small subunit ribosomal RNA". It matches the Rfam family "Eukaryotic small subunit ribosomal RNA", at positions 483 to 777 of the family's 1831-position model. Lineage: Eukaryota; Apicomplexa; Aconoidasida; Piroplasmida; Theileriidae. The record is from RNAcentral.
AUACGGGGCUUAUGUCUUGUAAUUGGAAUGAUGGGAAUUUAAACACAUCUUCCAGAGUAUCAAUUGGAGGGCAAGUCUGGUGCCAGCAGCCGCGGAAUUCCAGCUCCAAUAGCGUAUAUAAAAUUGUUGCAGUUAAAAAGCUCGUAGUUGAAUUUCUGCUACAUUGCCUAUUCUCCUUUACGAGUUUGGGUCUUUUGUGGCUUAUCUGGGUUCGCUUGCGUUCCCGGUGUUUUACUUUGAGAAAAUUAGAGUGCUCA